GCUGAGCUAUGCUUUAGAUUGGUGAAUUUUUGUGCUUAUUGGUGACUGUUGUGACUGUUUCAGGAGACAAACAGUGGAGCUAAAGCUGACUGUAUUCGUGUAGAGUCUGAUGGUGUCUCUGGUAAUGAUGUCCACUCCACCCAACAUCCAGAGACUAAGUCUUCGGGCUGCAAUCAGAUCUUGAAGCCGAGAUGGAACCAUCUGCAGAGCAAACCUCAAAACCCUGAGCAGUCACCAACAGAACCAACCAGUACCACAUCAGUUCCCAAAGCAAGCUGGAAGUGCCUGAGCUUGUUUCUCCAAGACACUCACAGCAUUGGGGAGCUCAAUGAAGGGGGGGGACCAGUCUUGGUCCUAAAUAGGUCCUCAGUUUGGUGAAUGAAAUCACAUGCGUCUUGGGAAGGACGACAAAGAGCACCUGCCUUGAACUCUUUUAACCCUUGGAUGCAUGGAUGACCAAUACCUACACUCUUCCAUGAGUGGGGUCAAAAAUGACCCCAAUUAG
Molecule: long non-coding RNA, 505 nt
Filed under: Astyanax mexicanus (Mexican tetra)
Lineage: Eukaryota; Metazoa; Chordata; Actinopteri; Characiformes; Acestrorhamphidae
Description: lncRNA (ENSAMXG00005008809.1)
Source: RNAcentral